GGGGGGUUAGCUCAGUUGGGAGAGCGCCGCGUUCGCAACGCGGAGGUCGAGGGUUCGAAUCCCUUACCCUCCACCA
Molecule: transfer RNA, 76 nt
Filed under: candidate division NC10 bacterium RIFCSPLOWO2_02_FULL_66_22
Lineage: Bacteria; Methylomirabilota (SeqCode)
Also listed under: 6 other names
Description: tRNA-Ala
Rfam family: tRNA
About the family: Transfer RNA (tRNA) molecules are approximately 80 nucleotides in length. Their secondary structure includes four short double-helical elements and three loops (D, anti-codon, and T loops).
Source: RNAcentral